GGGCCUGCAGCCUGCCCGGCCCGCACCUGAGCAGUAACACAGCCUAAUGGGAGGGUCAGCAGCCCCGUGCACACCAGACCCUGUCUGCACUGCCAAUAUGUUGGUCCAGGCUGUGCUGCAAACCUCUGGAUUAGAGAAAUGCCGCCCGGAUCAUUGGUGCUGGAACAGCUUCAGGUGAGAUUGCCAAGCCACAACACAUGGAGCGCCACCAGAUAGCUCGCAGGUUAUUUACAGAGGUACAGCACUGCUCUGCUGCAAGCAGCUGCGAAAUGGAUCACAGCAGGAAUGAAACUAUGGCCCUGAUGAGCCCUUCCAACUCCCUGCUUGUCCUGCAAGCACUGGAAGGUCUCCUGGAUCUUUGAGAUCCGGGCUGGGGCAGCUCAUUGCUGUCGGUCACAUCCUGCCCCCCUGUUACAGCAGCUAUCCAAGGGUGCACCCACUGCUGCAGAGCAGGACCCGGGAUCCUGCCGGUCCUUCCAGGGAGAAAAGCCAGGCCCAGCCUUUGCAAGAAACACUGCUUGCUCUGGCAGGGCACAGGAACAUGCGUGGGCUUAAAUCCUGCCCCUAAGCAGAGGACUGCUUGCUUGGUGCAUGGGGAGCUGGAGGAACGGGCUCUGGUACAGCUGGGUAUUUAUCCAGCCUCGUCUCAAGGAUGCACAUGUGAAGGAAUAACCUGAGCACUGCUGGCAGGCACCCCGUGCUCACCCCAGCUCUGGGAUCUGGCCACACUCGUCCCUUUGUGGCUGUGAUGGCUGUGCUUUCUCUUGUGUAACGGGGGGCAGCACAAGCUGGAGCUGUAAUCAGGCAGCUUUGCAAAGGCACCUCGGGCCAAAGCUGCCCUUUGCUUUUUAAGUAUUUUUAACAGCUAAAAAAGCUUUUAGAUUUUAAGUAAGUAGUCCUGCAUAAUUCUCAGCGUGACUUGCAGGCAGAAGGGCGAGUGCUCACAUGUGCUGCACUCGCAGCAAGCCUGCGCAGGCUGAGGCUUUCCUCCGUCCCUCUCCCAAGCCCAGGCUGCCUGCACAGCAGUGCCCGGCUCACAAAUGUCACAGCUCCCUCUGCCGGGACCCUGCCCGGGAGAGCAGGAUGGGACCCGCUGCCAGCCUGGGCUGUGGGGCAGUGGGGACGCGGCGCAGCACCGGGAUGGCCACCGGGACCCACCGUGCUCAGCACCAUAACCCCAGGCUGGUGUGCAGGUGAGAUGGAGGUGGGCACGCAGGGGGUGUCUGGGGUUUCACGCUCACUAACUCUCCCUUUUUAUUUAGGACCACCCAAGCAGCUUCUGAAGUCACGCUGGUGCUGACAGAGGUACAAAGAUCCCCUCUCCCAACUCGUCCCUCCUCCAGGAAAAGGUUGGGCUGAGAAGGGAUGUGGCGGUACCUGAGUGCCGUGGGACAGGACCCCACGAGGCUCCAAACAAGCCCAGAAAUGCUGCAAAGCUUGCUGGCCCCGAGUACGACAUGCUCACCUCCACAACCACGGAGACAGACUGAAAUUGAGCUGUGGCACCAAAGCUCUUUGAGCUCAGGCACAUUGCUUGGCCGUGGCUCCUCAUUUUCUUUUCAGACCAUCUCCCACGACACACGUGGAUGCAGCCUUUGCAGGGCAGGAUGCUCAAUGCCCCCAUCCUGGGAUGUGUCCCCUGCAUCCCGCACCUCUUGUGUUGGACCUGGGCUCCGCUCAUCUCUGGGACAUGGAGAGGGAAUGUGGUUGUCCCCUGUCCCUUGUCCCAGCCAGGCCCCGGCGCUGCUCGGCAGCCCGGCCGUGCCAGGUGAAUCUCACCGGUGCUAAUUGCAUCUCCUCUGCAGCCGAGAUCAACAAGCUCCUUUUGGAGUGGGUGCUUGUGAAAGCAGGGUGGAGGCCAGGGCUGGCACACCCUGGAGAACACCCUUAAAUACCCUACCAAACAGAAACCCAGCCAGGCAGCAGGUUUCCCUGGCCCCGUGCUUCCAGCAAGCAAACACUGGUAUCGCGCCCGCUCGGGUGGCCGGACCCAGCACGGAACCCGUGGACCUGGGUCCCUUAGUGCCCCAAACACCAAACCUCCCCAUGCUGCUCCCUGUGUUAAAUCAGGCUUCCCAGCAACAUCAGUGCCCCGGGUUUAGCUCGGACACGUUCCCCCAUCCCUGAUGGUGCAGGAGACGCUGCGCACGGAGUGGAGCCAGCACGGCCACCCCAUCCCCGAGCUGCCUCUUGGGCCAGCCCCAGCUCCUCGACCGAAGGAGCAUCGCCCCCAGGAGUGAGGCCGAUGCCCCAGCUGCAGCACGGCCCCUGUGAGGGCGAUGUGCCAGCACACGCUGUCACUCGGUGCUUUUUUUUCUCUCCCUGUCCCUAGAUGCUGAGCCCCCAGACCACGAUCUGGAAGAGGAAGAAGGCAGCUGAGGGUUCUGGGGACGGCUGAAGCUGAGCAGUGCCGAUGGUGGGCACCAAAAAGACCAUCGCCCAUGGGACACCAGACACUGAGCUCCAGCUUGCGAGCGUUGCCUGAUGCCAGACCAGGUCCCUGCAGGGCCAGGAGCAGGGGAGACCCACCAUGCUGGGGAGUGACAGCAGGGCCACCCGACCCCACCGCGGGACUGCACCAGGCUGGAUCAGCAAGUACAAGGCUGCAAGAGGACCCCAAAGCCCCAAAUCCACCCGCACCCACGCAGAAAGAAGCAGCAAGGAAAGAAGAGGGGGAAGCCAGCAGCACUUUGUGUCUCCCAGCAGCCCUGGCUGGCCCUGCCGUGGGCAGGGCAUUCCCAAGGGAUGGAUGGAGAUGGGUCUGACUUCACCACGCACCAUGGAUGCAUAUCUAAAAACCACUCACGAGGUUGCUGUGGACACGCUUUCUGGAAAGGUAAUUUUUGGACUGCUGGACCGCUCACUAUGGGAAAGGGAGGCCUGGUGUUGGGGAGAGCAGAGGCCACGGGGAUGAUUUCUGAUGUGAUGCACAGCGUUCAACCUUCAGGGUUGUUUUUUGUUUGUUUGUUUGUUUUGUGGGCAGUUUUCUCCCAGCCUGGAGCUGCCAGAUAAAUCCUGGGUGACACUUUUUUUUCCCCAGCGUGGUCCGUGGGCUCAGGAAGCCAUGGGUCCAUGUGCAGGCUGAGCCCCGGGUUCUCAAAGACUUCCCAUCAUCUCCCCGGGCACCGGUUUCACCCCUUUUCCCAACAGAGCCCGAGCCUUACUCACUGCUCCCCCAGCAAACCACCCCACUUCCAAGGGCAUCACCUGCGCCGUGCGGGAAAGGCGACGUCCUGCUCAGGAACAGGGCUUGUGCCGGGUACCGCAGCCAUUCCCAGAACUCCGCUAUCUGUAAAUCCCACUAUCAGCUCCUUGCCGUGGCCAUGCCUGGCUCCAGCUGGCCGCAGCCCAGCGGGGACCUGGGGCAGCUCCGGCCACCCGCGGGCUCCUGGGGCUGGCGCUGCUGGAGGCACCUCGUGAGCCCGCUGCCUGCGGCGGGGCAGCCUCCGGCCGUGCCAGCCGCCCGCUGACGCCGGUCCCACCGCCACGCCGUGGGAGGUCGGGCUUAUCUGCGUUGCACAGGGCUUGGCUCAUUGUUGAUUGUUCUUUUUCCCAUUCAGGAAGAAAGGAGG
Oxyura jamaicensis (ruddy duck) is the source of this 3572-nucleotide long non-coding RNA. RefSeq lists it as uncharacterized. The record is from RefSeq and is a predicted model, not a curated record. Lineage: Eukaryota; Metazoa; Chordata; Aves; Anseriformes; Anatidae. The transcript has 3 exons.